CAUCACUGCACUCCAGCCUGGGCGAUAGAGUGAAACUCCGUCUCAAAGAAAAAAAAAAAAAAAAAAGAACUGAGGUCACUGGAAGCUGAAGGGAUGGGUGAUUCACAUAAAGCCCUUCAGUGUCUGAGUUGUAUUCUGCCAUAUCCUAGCUCCACCCUUCAGUGUGACUUUUUAAGUUAGAGAACUUCCCACUUACAGUGUCAAAUGAGAACAGGACUUGCCUUCUCUCUUCAGGAAUGUAGGUACUGGGGAUUGACUGGGUAUUUGUCUGCCUAGGGUUACACAGGGAGAUAUCCAGGUUGGAAAGAGUAAAACUACAAUUCCCAGACUCCCUUGCAGCCAGGUUCAGGAUGUGAUUUUAGGUCCCGCCAACCAGAUAUACUUGUGGGAGACUGUGCUGUAGUAGAUCAUGCCAGAGGUGGACCCAGCAGCUAUACAGCUGUAACAGCAGCUCUCUGGCUUUGCAGCUUCCUAUACUUGCUCAAGAAGCUGGAAGUCUUGUUUGUGAGGUUGGAGAAACAAUGGCAACACUGGUAGCACCGUAAGCAACCAUCUGCCACUUUGUGUUUGCCCACCUACCUAUGGUGCCUGAGCACUGCUGCCAUGUACAGACUACACAGAGGUGGUUUUUUGCAAGAUAAUUGAAGAUAGGAGAGGACAUGACAGCGUUUCUCAGAAAGAAUGCUGCGGGGGAAUUUUCAAAGCAAGAAUCCCUUCCUAAGAAUUAAUUGGGAUGAAUAUGUGCAUGUUAGACAGUUGAGGCUAUAAAAUAAGGACAUGUCAGAAGUAGCAGUUCUAUGUCCUUCCCUUAGAAUUUCAUGAGGUGUAGGGUACCCUUCCCCACCCCAGGGCGCAUCACUGAAGUGUAGUGGUGGCAGCCAUGGCCUGAGGGCAGGUCAGCACAGAAAAACACCAACUCCACAGAGAGAGUCUGGCGGGAGCAGGUGCAUGGGCAUCUGGUGACCUGAGUUCCUCCAACAGAACAAGCCAUGGGGCCUCUUUGUGCCUCUGUUUAUUCUUUCCCCAAGUGGGGUCACUUCAGACAUUUGGAGAUAUGAGGCAACAAGGAGAUGGGAAAGUUCACCAACAAUGUAAACACUCUACAUGAGAGAGUUUUGUUGCCAAUGUGCUAGAAGAGGCAUGCUUCAGGGAAGAGGUGAGAAUCCUAUACAUGGGAAGGAAGGAAAGAAUCAAGCCCUGUAAAAGUACAAAGGAAAAAGAGACUAGAAGAGAUGUGGAGUUGGGGGAUCCUGCCAAGGAUCUGAGUGCAGCAAUGUUUACAGUGUUGAAUACUUGAAAGGUGCCCAGGGGCCUGGAGAUGACCUGUGGGGAACCUGCAGCCCUAGCCUACUGUGGCCACUGCCUCCUAGGUAAAUGCAUAUCCCAAAGUCCCUGCCUGCCUUCCCAGCCAUCAUGAUCUGGUGCUGACAAGGGGCUGUGGACACUCAAGGGGCACUCACUGGGGUGGGUUUGGGUAUAUUGCGGCAUGACAGUCUGGUUACGAUGCAGACCACCUGAGAACUCCAAGGCUGACAGCAGAUCCUCCAGUGUGUUGAACGCCUGACUCUAAUGGCAAAUGUUUCUCUUCAUUUG
This 1593-nucleotide long non-coding RNA is filed under the name Homo sapiens (human). RNAcentral's name for it is "non-protein coding lnc-EHD3-1:1". The record is from RNAcentral. Lineage: Eukaryota; Metazoa; Chordata; Mammalia; Primates; Hominidae.